CAGGGGUUUCCGCUUUUGCUUCUCUCCUCAUUUUCUCCUGGCGCCGCCAUGUAAGAAGUGCCUUUUGCCUCCCGCCAUGAUUCGGAGGCCUCCCCAGCCAUGUGGAACUAUAUUUUCUAAAAGUAAAGACUUUAAAGAAAGGCACAGGAGGCUGGGAGCAGUGGCUUACAUUUGUAAUCCCAGCACUUUGCGGGGCUGAGGCCGGAGGACUGCUUGAGUCCAGGAGUUUGAGACCAGCCUGGGCAACACAGCUUGACUGUGCAUGACUGGAGACAGUGCGAGGUCGCCGAGUCCAUAAGCAGCAAGAAGGGCACACAGAAGGAGAAAGGAGAAGCUUGCUGCCGGAGGAGACAAACUGGACUUUACAGUGUUCUCCGGGGUGGGACCUGACUUUGACCUCAUGUAUACAGAUGGGCCUGACUGAGCUCAUCCAUGCUUAUGUCCGGGUGCUUAAGUCUUAUGGUAAUGUAUUUUUUUUUCAAUUGCCAUUGAAAGAUGUGAGAAAUGAAACAUGAAAAUAUUUAAUAAUUCAGCAUUUCCAAGUGUCUAGACUACUGAACAUAUUAUCCAAGAAAUUAUUUAGAAGAAAGGGAAAGGAAAUAGGCAAGAGAUUUUAUGAGUACUGACUAUGAAUCAGUUGUUUUCAGAGUUGUAUUUCUCACAGAAUAGAUACUAUUUUCCCUGUUUCACAGAUGACAAAUGUGAGGGUCAGAUAGAUUAGGAAACGUGCCCAAAGUUUCACAGCUAGUCAAUGAGAGAAAGCAUUUUCCAAGCCAGGUUCACUUGGCUGCAAAGCACUUACUCUUUCUGAUAUACAGCAUGCUGCCUAGAUGUUUUAGCACAUUUGGAUUACAAAAAUGUUAGAAAUAAAAUUAUGUUUGUGAAAGGAUGGGCAUUUAAAAAGCUCUGGGUUAUGGUUGUCUGUGGUUGAAAUUAUAAAAUGAUAGUUCCCCCCACACACAUACAGCAUACACACACACACACACACAGACACACACAUACACACACACAAAUGUGGGUUAUUAUGGCUGAGUCAUUGAAUUUAUUUGGAAGAACCAUCUUCUUUUGCAUGACAGAAUACAGAUGGCCAUAAACUAUUUACCCAGACAUUUUGGGGUUGAGGGAUGUAAUCAUCAUUUGAAACAAAAAUACAACUCUAGAAAUACAUAUGAAAGUGAAUUACUUUGUUAAUGUGAAAGGGAAAAGGGGGAAAAUGAAUAAAACAGCAAGAAUACAACUGAAAGGAGACUAAAAGGAACAAGGGCAAACUGUCUUUGAGCACAAGGCAUAUGCGUAUGCUACACAGAGCGUUGUUCUAGAAAUGUUUAUAAACAAUGGAUGUUUGUGGAAUGAAAAACUGAAUAGCUGUGAUAUUAAGGCUUUCCACUCCUGGGAAAAAUAUGGACACCAUGGCUUAUAAGUUAUUUGAUUCUGACAAGCAUCUUCCUACCUCCUCUAACAUUUGGUUAUAUUAACUAUAUUGGAGGCUUUUCCUUUUGUUACUCUGUGUUUCUGCCAUCUGAAAACAAUGAGCUUAAACAGCUAUCAUGCUGUCAUUUUGCCCUGUGAAUAGACUCGUUAAUAUAGAAACCUAAUGAAAUGAUUGUUUUAAAAAAAGAAAAAAAAUCCCAUUCUAUACGUGUUUUACUUCUUAAAAUGUCCCUAAAUUACAAAGAUUCUCUGAAAAGAUAAAAAAUAUCUCACAUAUUCAGAGGAUGACUUUAGCCCAUUGUUUCAGGGCUUUUUCAUGCCUUAUCUCCUUUUAAAAACCAUAACAGGCUGUGAAAAACAAAAUAAAUUAAGGAGAAUAGUUCCUUCCUUUUUAUGAUAAAUCUGCAUGUGGCGGUGACGGUCAAGUACAAACUGUAAAUAAGUGAAAUAACUCAUAACUAGUAAUAUACAGGUUAAUCAACUAUGAUUAAAAGUAAAUAGGUUUUUCACCAAGAACAAUAUCUUUAACUCAAAAUUAAAUAAUUGGCAGCAUGCUAGGUAAAUUAUAAAAUAAGGAAUUUCUAAAAGCAGAGAAUGAUGUUCUUUCUCCGUUGUCAAUCUGAUGAGUCUUGGUGACCUUUUGUUCACAUUAAUGCUGACAAACUGCAUCAUGCAUGACCGUCCCAACCCCCUUCUCCUCCCAAUAGUUCCUUCUUUGAUUCUAAUCUGUAUUCAAGGGUGUGGGGUGGGACACUUUAGUAAGGGGUGGGGGCGAGGGGAUGGCAAUGGUAGACGCUGGUCGGGGCUGUCAAUAACCUUGGAGGCCUUUGGGAAGAGCAGAGGACAAUAAUUUAUUGCAGUAUAGGAGAGACAGCUAGGAAGUAAUUCCUCCGUGUUACCUUUAUAAUUUGAGAAGGCGUCCAAAGAAAUAACACAUCAGAGUUCAGUGCUAUGAAGGAAAAAGCACUGGACAAGUUAUUUGGAUGGGUAUUCUUGGUUUUCUUGGUUACAAUUUAAGGCAAAUAUGAAACUCAAAAAGGUACCUUGGGACCAUCGUGUUCUUGGGAAGUUGACACAAGAACCACAACAGUUUAGAGAAACCCCUAAAUAUCCAUCUUAGAAAAAAAAAGUACACAUUUUUAGUUCUUAGGAGAAAGAGCAAUAGAUUUAUUUGAAUGAAAUAAUUAAUGAGUCAUGGUCCCCCAGACCUUUUUCAGGCAUGAAGCUAGCACUGAAUACUUUGUGCUUUCAAAGUUUCAAAUGACCUUCAGUUAAACUUUUAUAACAAGGUUCCUUUAAAACACAUUUAUGCUUUGCUAUUAACACUACUACCAAUAAUACAGUAAUUACUAAUAGUGGGUAGUAAUGGCAUUACAUAUGAAUCUCAGAAUUAAAAUUAGCUGUUCAUCUCCAUCCUUCCCAACAGCCUGAGAGUGUGUCAAGACAUGGGACCACACAGAAUCUUACUGUUUGUAUUUUCAACGUCUUGCGUACAGUGACAAUAAAUGAAUGAGAGUUUUAAAAAACUGUAUAUAAAGACUAUUGAGUCCUAUUACAAACACAUUGUUUACACACAUAUAAAUCUGUGCUAUGACACUAGGUAUAAGCAUACAGAGGACACCUAACUUCACUUGAAGUCUAAGUAAACACAAAACAUGGCCUACAGUGAUUUCCCUGAGUUGGAGAACCAUACACAUGUCUGGUUGUCCUUUGGACAAGCUGGUAACAUGAAAAAGAGGCAAGACCAAUGUAAACACUGAUAUAUUCAUGAUAAUGCAAAAACAUUAAGAUUCAUUAAAAUGUUACAAAUAAGAAAAUCACUUGUGUUUUGGUAUUUAUAUACUUGAAGGAAGUUUAUUUGGCAUUAUGGGAGUUUAUUACAUUUCUAAUCAAAGUCUACUGACGACUCGUGGAGGGAGAGGAAAGCUGUCAGGUUCUCUAACUUAUCCAUCUGUUCAUGCCUCCCCCCUGGAUGGCACCCGUUCUCCAAUGGAGAAGCGGAGCACUGGCCUCUUGAAAGCUGUCUUUCUGGCACUGCCUUCCUGAGCGAAUGAAAUGGUUUGGUUUAGAAUACCUUCCCUUUCAGUCCUGUCCCAGCUUCCAGAUGAAUGUCCUUAAUUUUAAAGAAGCACAGUCCAAUAGUUUCUAUGUUGCUGGAAGAAGAAAAUUAAAUUAUGUUGUAAUUAUGUAGUCAACUAGCAUAUGGUCCUUUACCGGGGAAAAGUAGUUUUUAACCUCUCCCGUAAACUCUAGAGGGAACUUACAGAAGAGAAAUUCAGGCACCAGGAAACACAUGUAUUCAUCAUUUUAUUGGUUCUUAAAAUUUACUGUGACAUGGGAGGAGAACCUAUCAUCCUGCAUACUCUCAUGAAUGUAGCAGAUGAAAUCCAGGAAAGUUUAAUCAAUAAAAAUGACAGUACAUAUAUUUUUGUAGUACUUAAAAGUUUAUAACACACAUGCAUUAUCUCAUGUGACCCUCACAAACAACUAAAACUAAGGGCAGGGAUGAUCUUCAAUUUCAAGAUAAGAAACCAGGCUUGAGGUUAUUAAACUUUUUUUUUAAGACAAAAAUCUCACUCAGACUAUUACAUCUUAAAAUGAGGGUUAAUCUGGAAAUAGGCCAGUCAGUAUGAACCUGUUUUUAAGAUCAUUCAGCUAGUUUGGAGGCAAAGUCAAGACACAAACUCUGCCUUCUCCAAGCAAAAUUAGCACUCUUCACAAAUUCCUAGAACUACAUCAGUAGUUCAUGGUCAUAGACUAUUUACGUAAGAUUUCCUGCUUUAUAGUUUGGUUUGUCAAUGCAGUGCUCUUAGUGGUGGGCAUAUUUUAAAAAAAUCACUUAAUAGAAGAAAUUAAACAAUAAUGGGAUCUAAACUAUUGGAAGAAACAGUUAAAAGUAGUUUUAAAAUAAGAGAGGGGAGAGCUGGACAUUAAAGUACUAAUUUUACUUCUGAAAUUAUUUUUUUCCAGCUUUCUACAUGGUGUUAUCUUAAUAUUUGAAACUCUUAAGAUGUCAGUUUGAAUCCCUGCAUUACAUUUUAUAUAAUUUCUGUUGGUAUUGCUCAUAGAGCUUAUGUGACUAAUUAAACCUCACUGCAAUUACUUUUCAAGCAGAAGCUGUAGUUUACUUAUUUCUCAACAAAAACUAUGAUCAUUUGCCUUGUUUCCCAUGCAUUAUUCGAUGACUGAUUACUGUUACAGCGUGGAUUAUGUUUUGUAUUCCGCAGCACGCAAGCAUUAAUCUUCACUUAUUCUGCAAUAGUAUAAUUCAUUAAAACACAUGCUUUGAAUUUGGGGCACAUACAAGAAGAUGUAACCACACAGAAUACAGUGCUUUUAUGACAAAACAUAAUUAAUAAAACAUAAAAUGUGUUUUAUGAAGUUAUGGUUUUAAUUUGCUAUCUCAAGAAAU
RNAcentral lists this long non-coding RNA (4843 nucleotides) under Homo sapiens (human). RNAcentral describes it as "HSALNT0102331". Lineage: Eukaryota; Metazoa; Chordata; Mammalia; Primates; Hominidae. The record is from RNAcentral.